UACGUAGGGUGCGAGCGUUAAUCGGAAUUACUGGGCGUAAAGGGUGCGCAGGCGGUUUUGUAAGUCAGAUGUGAAAUCCCCGGGCUUAACCUGGGAACUGCGUUUGAAACUACAAGACUAGAGUGUGGCAGAGGGGGGUGGAAUUCCAUGUGUAGCAGUGAAAUGCGUAGAGAUAUGGAAGAACAUCGAUGGCGAAGGCCAACCCCGUGGUUAACACUGACGCUCAGGCACGAAAGCGUGA
RNAcentral lists this ribosomal RNA (241 nucleotides) under uncultured bacterium. RNAcentral's name for it is "partial 16S ribosomal RNA". It matches the Rfam family "Bacterial small subunit ribosomal RNA", at positions 524 to 764 of the family's 1533-position model. The record is from RNAcentral.